GCGAAGAAUAGAGAGAAUGAAAACGCGUGAAUAACAAGUCAACUACACAAUUCUCACUUCCGUGGGUAAAAGACCAAUAAAUCUGAGGGAGGGGGUUUGAACCAAGAUGUUAAAUCAGAGGGAAAGGGCAAGUGCUUUGUUGGAGUCCAAGCAACCCCGCGGGAGAAAAUAUCAACGAAACCAUAAGCUUGCAAGGAACUACUGUUGCUGGUAAACAAAGUCGAACGAUCAAGGGUCGAAUAAGAGGGAAAAAGGAACGAUGACAGAAGUUGAAGAAGUGAAGGAAAGUUGCGGGGAGGAAGGAGCCGAUCGCUAGAUUUAACCAACCGUUGGACCAAAUCGACCCGCUGUACCAAACCGCACUGACCCGCCAACCGACCCUACCCGCCUAGUGACCCAAAAGUCAACACCGGCCCGAUCCGACCCAUCUAGCUGACUCCGACCCAGUACCCAAAACAAACCCGAAGGACCUAAUUGAAGAUCUUUGAAGGAAUUGAAAAUUUGUUGAAGACCCGAAACAAGUUCGAGAAGCCUACAACAAGUAACCGCAUGGAACAAGUUUCUAAGAAAUGCUUGUAGGAGUCGGUUUGGAGUAAGGGCAAACGAUCUAGUAUUAUACUUAGGAGUUUGGUUAACAUUAGUUUUAUGUGUGUUGUACUUCGAUAUCGUGAAUGAUUAUACCUUGAUAUAGUUAGGGUUAUAUAGCUUCCGCAUGCAUAAAUGUGAAAUUAUCUGAUAGGAGUUUGGGUUUAUGUGUU
Molecule: long non-coding RNA, 758 nt
Organism: Cucurbita moschata (crookneck pumpkin)
Lineage: Eukaryota; Viridiplantae; Streptophyta; Magnoliopsida; Cucurbitales; Cucurbitaceae
Exons: 2
Source: RefSeq, a predicted model, not a curated record